Zingiber officinale is the source of this 735-nucleotide long non-coding RNA. RefSeq lists it as uncharacterized. Lineage: Eukaryota; Viridiplantae; Streptophyta; Magnoliopsida; Zingiberales; Zingiberaceae. The record is from RefSeq and is a predicted model, not a curated record. The transcript is spliced from 4 exons.
CUUCCCCGAUCUCCCCGAUUCUCUCCUUCCGACCUCCCUCUUUUUCUCUAUUCCCUCUCGGUCCGAUCUCUCUCGAUUUCUCCCUCCUUCGCUGCCGAUCUUAAGGAGAUGGUUGUUAGAUCUCGACGGUGCCGAGGAAGUCCAGGUUGUCUUCGGCCAAGGGGUCUCUGCUAAGUGGAUUAUGCGGCCGGAUCGUGUCUCCUUCCACCAUCAUCCACCGAAGCUUGGAGUGAUGCCCUAGUUCAGAUUUGUGCCAUCCGAUUGCCGGCGUGAAGAGAAAUUAGGGCUACCAGCGUCGGAUUGGUCCAGUACCGACUGUGUGGGUGAGGUACCAGCCCUCUUCUUCAUGAUUUUCUUGUCUGAUUCUCUUCUCUGUUCAUCGACAAGAAUUCGCCGUGCCUUAACAGUGAUUUCGAAGGUCUCGGAUUUGGAGAGGUUGGUAUCAGGGAGGUGUCGUUUGGAUUAGGGGAAGGAAUCAGAUCAGACUCGUGCUAGGUUUUCCCUUGAUUGGAUCUCGGAUCUCCUCUGCCUUGCUAUUGAUUAGGGUACGGGAUUGAAGAGGAGGAGGGAGGUUUGUUUUGUUUGUUCUGUGUUGUGGGGUUGUCUUUGUUCCGGCAGCACUCCUUCCAGCAGCUCAUCUUUGGCUGCGGAUCAAGAGCAGUGGUUGAAUUGAGGACUCUGAUUCGAGACGGGCAUCUCGACGUUGGAUUUGGCGUGAUACUACCUGCUAUUUGA